AUUGAACGCUGGCGGAAUGCUUUACACAUGCAAGUCGAACGGCAGCACGGGGCAACCUGGUGGCGAGUGGCGAACGGGUGAGUAAUACAUCGGAACGUGCCCAAUCGUGGGGGAUAACGUAGCGAAAGUUAUGCUAAUACCGCAUACGAUUUACGGAUGAAAGCGGGGGAUCGCAAGACCUCGCGCGAAUGGAGCGGCCGAUGUCAGAUUAGGUAGUUGGUGGGGGUAAAAGGCUCACCAAAGCCAACGAUCUGUAGCUGGUCUGAGAGGACGACCAGCCACACUGGAACUGAGACACGGUCCAGACUCCUACGGGAGGCAGCAGUGGGGAAUUUUGGACAAUGGGCGCAAGCCUGAUCCAGCCAUUCCGCGUG
This 374-nucleotide ribosomal RNA is filed under the name uncultured bacterium. RNAcentral describes it as "bacterial SSU rRNA". It matches the Rfam family "Bacterial small subunit ribosomal RNA", at positions 30 to 403 of the family's 1533-position model. The record is from RNAcentral.